This is a long non-coding RNA of Dendrobium catenatum, 493 nucleotides long. RefSeq lists it as uncharacterized. The record is from RefSeq and is a predicted model, not a curated record. The transcript has 2 exons. NCBI's taxonomy places the organism in Eukaryota, Viridiplantae, Streptophyta, Magnoliopsida, Asparagales, Orchidaceae.
UGCAGCUGGAGAUCCAUUGGCUGUGGAAGACUCCCUUGAUGGCCAGACAGAGGCUUCAUUUGGGACGGCUUUGUUAUUGCUUCUUAAAGCUGCUUUCUUGUAUAAAAUUUUUAAUUUUUGUACUUAAGAAGUAGUAAGAAAGUGGUCCCAAAUGAAGCCAGAGAUUGUGCCUGGAGGCUGAGGUUUUGGCGUUGUUUAGGACGGCUUUUUUACUGCUUCUUGAAACAAAAUUUUAGUACAAAAAUUAAAAUUUUUGUGUAUAUGGCUCGUUGGACUAUGGCAAGUUAUUAAGGUGCUUCUGCGCUUCAAGUUUCAAAAGGAACACUAUGAUUCUUCACCUUUGCUGGGAAUUCUCUGCUUUGUUCCGCGUAGAUAUCUGCUUUCUAUUUUCAGCAAUACAAUUUAUGUUUGAAAUUUCACUCAACGAUUCAGAUGGAUUGAAUGUUCAUGCUCGAUUAUAAGUCAUGGAGCUGCUAACGGUCAAAUCAGAUUU